Molecule: ribosomal RNA, 844 nt
Filed under: marine metagenome
Description: bacterial SSU rRNA
Rfam family: Bacterial small subunit ribosomal RNA
Source: RNAcentral
GGAGAAAGAGGGCCUCUCUUUGAUGCUUUCGCUAUUAGAUGAGCCUGCGUAAGAUUAGCUUGUUGGUGAGGUAAAGGCUCACCAAGGCAACGAUCUUUAGCGGGUCUGAGAGGACGAUCCGCCACAUUGGGACUGAGACACGGCCCAGACUCCUACGGGAGGCAGCAGUGGGGAAUAUUGGACAAUGGGCGCAAGCCUGAUCCAGCCAUACCGCGUGUGUGAAGAAGGCCCUAGGGUUGUAAAGCACUUUAAGUUGGGAAGAAAAGUUAUUGGUUAAUACCCAAUAACCCUGACAUUACCUUCAGAAUAAGGACCGGCUAAUUCCGUGCCAGCAGCCGCGGUAAUACGGAAGGUCCAAGCGUUAAUCGGAAUUACUGGGCGUAAAGCGCGCGUAGGUGGUUUAUUAAGUUGGAUGUGAAAUCCCCGGGCUCAACCUGGGAACUGCAUCCAAAACUGAUUCACUUGAGUACGAUAGAGGGAGGUAGAAUUCACAGUGUAGCGGUGGAAUGCGUAGAUAUUGUGAAGAAUACCAAUGGCGAAGGCAGCCUCCUGGAUCUGUACUGACACUAAGGUGCGAAAGCGUGGGUAGCGAACAGGAUUAGAUACCCUGGUAGUCCACGCCGUAAACGAUGUCAACUAGCUGUUGGAAAACAAUGUUUUUCAGUGGCGCAGCUAACGUAAUAAGUUGACCGCCUGGGGAGUACGGCCGCAAGGCUAAAACUCAAAUGAAUUGACGGGGACCCGCACAAGCGGUGGAGCAUGUGGUUUAAUUCGAUGCAACGCGAAAAACCUUACCUAUACUUGACAUACUUGGAAUGCUUUGUAAUGAAGCAGUGCCCUCGGG